RNAcentral lists this long non-coding RNA (1678 nucleotides) under Mus musculus (house mouse). RNAcentral describes it as "lincRNA-EC87". Lineage: Eukaryota; Metazoa; Chordata; Mammalia; Rodentia; Muridae. The record is from RNAcentral.
CACUAGCAAUGGCAGUAUUCAUCAUACACUGAGUACUCGACUGUGCCUGAAACUAUGCUGUGUAUAUCUAUAAAUUGUCGCAUUGAAAACUCAGAACAAGCCUAUAAGGGUAAUUCUUCACCACCGCUCUUCCUGAUGCCACUCCCAUCAUAGGAAGGGACCCGAAGUCACCAGGCAGUAAGUACAUCAGUGUUCAAACUAAAUAUCCGACGACAAGUACAGCAACCCAGUGUGCCUUGACUGCCCAUGGCAGGACAUCACCCAGUCAUUUACUUGACGCCAGCAACUGAAAACCUUCAGAGAAGACUAAGCCAUCUUCCAAGGCAGGCAGUGGAACAAACCUCAGGGCAGCUGAGAAUGCCUCUUCCUGCUAUUUCUCUGGUGGCUCCGGAACAGGUCCCGUGAUACUGUGUGUCAUGCUCUUACAUGCUUCUUUUAUGCCCCAAGACUUGCCCUCGUUGAUCCCAGUCUUCAGAACACACCAAACAUGGGUCACUCUCCAGCUCAAAAUCAGUUAUCUUUCACAUUGUUACCCAGUGGCCUAAUUGUAAAUGCACCCCUCACAAUUCCACCCAAAUAUCUGAUCUCAGAGAAUCCAGAGACCUUGCGUGGACGAAACGACUUGGCCAAGAUCACCAAGUAAUACCAUUAACAAUAAAACUAAAGCCUGAGGCAUCUUCUUGAUUAACCAUUGAUGUGCAGGGAGCUCGGCCCACCGUGGGUAGUGCCAACACUGGGUGCUUAUGCUUUGUAUAAAAGGCUGGUUGAACAAGCCAUGGGGAGUGAGCCACACUAAGCAGCACUCCUCCAUGGCCUUUGCUUCAGUUCCUGCCUCCAGGGUCCUGCUCAACUUCCUGCUGUGACUUCCUUCAUAAUUGACUAUAAACUAUAAACCGAAAAAAGAAAAUCCUUCCCCAAAUGACUUUGCUCAUGUUGUCACAGCAAUAGACACAAAACUAUGACAUGGGGUCUUGGGCCACACAGCAGAGUCACUGUAAUGAGAAUUCUAAUGCCAACCCUUUGCAUGCUGGCUAUUUUACUGUGUUCCUUCACCGCUCCCUGAAUUGAGCCUCCACACAAAGCUGCAAGAUCAAUUAGAGAACACAUAAAAUGAACUACUUAAUUUAUGUUUCUCAGAGGGAUAUAAAACAUUUGGCUCACAGGCUUUUAAGACGGGUCACAGAACAUAAAACUAUAUUUAAUAAGUACAAUGUACUAAAAAUAUCCUUUAGUGAGACAGACUGAUGCGAUUAAAGGGCACUGGCUUCAGGAGAAAUGGGGAAGUCAGAUGCUGAACCCUCUCAGCCCCUCAACCAUGCAGGCUUAACCGGACAACUGUCCUGUCCUCUGUAUAAUGAGGUUUGUAACUUCAACAUCCUGCCUUCUUUUUCCAACUGAUGGCCAAUUUCGUCUCCCCAGGCAGAGAAAGAUUCCACAGAUAAUCUGAGAUCUAAUGCUAUACCCUCAACAUACAUAACAAGCAAGCCACCAUUUAUUCGUCCUAAGCCUAGGAGUGAAAAAUAAGAGCCAUAGCUGUAUAUGUUUUUGUGAAACUGGGGAUGCCAGAUUCCAAGAUCCACAUCUCAGAUGCAGGUUAAUGACAAAUGAGGCUACAUGUUGACACUUACGCGCUUCGCUGUGCAAAUGAGAUUUCCACAGCGUCAUAACUUACAAGGGA